Molecule: ribosomal RNA, 253 nt
Filed under: uncultured bacterium
Lineage: Bacteria
Description: partial 16S ribosomal RNA
Rfam family: Bacterial small subunit ribosomal RNA
Source: RNAcentral
UACGGAGGUGGCAAGCGUUAUUCGGAAUUAUUGGGCGUAAAGGGCGCGUAGGCGGCUAGAUGUGUCAAAGGUGAAAUCCCUCGGCUCAACUGAGGAACUGCCUUUGAAACUGUCUGGCUUGAGGCCGGGAGAGGGUAGCGGAAUUCCCAGUGUAGCGGUGAAAUGCGUAGAUAUUGGGAGGAACACCAGUGGCGAAGGCGGCUGCCUGGACCGGUUCUGACGCUGAGGCGCGAAAGCGUGGGUAGCAAACAGG